Molecule: unclassified non-coding RNA, 216 nt
Filed under: Hevea brasiliensis (rubber tree)
Lineage: Eukaryota; Viridiplantae; Streptophyta; Magnoliopsida; Malpighiales; Euphorbiaceae
Source: RNAcentral
AACACCAUGAAGGUAUGCAACCAGCAGUAGCCACAUUUAAUUUGCCCUUUUUUUUUUAAUGCUAUUAUUAUAUUGAUCGAUUUACUUACAUUUAUUUCAAAUUCAAACCUUCUAUUCAAGUUUAAAAUUUCGAAUGGGUUUUAAAUUUCUUUACGAACUUACCAAUUUAAAUAUAAUCAAAUAAUUUUGCUGGGUAUAUUUGCAUCCGCAGAAAAG